This 63-nucleotide transfer RNA is filed under the name Trinodes hirtus. Its description in RNAcentral is "tRNA-Asp". The record is from RNAcentral. Lineage: Eukaryota; Metazoa; Arthropoda; Insecta; Coleoptera; Dermestidae.
AAAAACUUAGUUAAUUAAUAACAUCAGCUUGUCAAACUGAAAUAAAUAAACUAUUAGUUUUUU